This 147-nucleotide unclassified non-coding RNA is filed under the name uncultured Helotiales. RNAcentral describes it as "sequence contains ITS2". The record is from RNAcentral. Lineage: Eukaryota; Fungi; Ascomycota; Leotiomycetes; Helotiales.
CAACCCUCAAGCUCAGCUUGGUAUUGGGUGUCACCUGGCAAUGGUGUACCUUAAAAUCAGUGGCGGUGCCGUCUGGCUUUCAAGUGUAGUAAUUCUCUCGCUUUGGAGGUCCAGUGUGUGCUUGCCGUCAACCCCUAAUUUUUCAAA